Lactuca sativa (garden lettuce) is the source of this 557-nucleotide non-coding RNA. The record is from RefSeq and is a predicted model, not a curated record. NCBI's taxonomy places the organism in Eukaryota, Viridiplantae, Streptophyta, Magnoliopsida, Asterales, Asteraceae.
AUAAGUUCCCCCGGCUAGACGCACGAUCUUUCAACUACUCGAGUCGGUUUAGUUUUGACCUGAUGAGUUUGCACAAGCAACGUAUUGAAGUUUGGGAAAAUGAGUUAUCGCCAUCAUGACAUUGUUCUACCAUUAUCCAUUCAUCUUUUAUUGAAAGAGUAGAUCCAAACGGGUAUAAUUGGAUAAGUUUAAGCAACGAGACAAAGCUAUUUUACUGGAAUGAGUUUGAGAAAUAGUGUUGUUGUGAUGAUGCAAUAACUUAUAAUGUGAAGACUUCAUGGGAAACCAAGGCGAAGAAGAGAUACAGAUAAUAUAUGCGUUCAACAACAAAAAAAUCCAACCAGAAAAAAAAAGUCGUGGCACAUAUCAUCGAAGUGCGGACAUCUUGGAAUGCAAAAUGGAAUUAUAAAGAAUUCAAGAUCACAAGACAUCAAAACAAAAUGUGGGAAACUUGAACAACUACUUGAACAAGCAAUUAGUGAUAGAGUAUCAUAUAUAUUGAACUAGUUUAUAGCCCGUGGGAACUACGGUUACAAACUUAAUUAAAUUUUAAUAUU